Molecule: ribosomal RNA, 503 nt
Filed under: uncultured bacterium
Lineage: Bacteria
Description: bacterial SSU rRNA
Rfam family: Bacterial small subunit ribosomal RNA
Source: RNAcentral
ACGCUGGCGGCGUGCUUAACACAUGCAAGUCGAACGAGAAGAGAUGAGAAGCUUGCUUCUUAUCGAUUCGAGUGGCAAACGGGUGAGUAACGCGUAAGCAACCUGCCCUCUAGAUGGGGACAACAGCUGGAAACGGCUGCUAAUACCGAAUACGUUCUUUCUGUCGCAUGGCAGAGGGAAGAAAGGGAGGCUCUUCGGAGCUUUCGCUGGAGGAGGGGCUUGCGUCUGAUUAGCUAGUUGGAGGGUAACGGCCCACCAAGGCGACGAUCAGUAGCCGGUCUGAGAGGAUGAACGGCCACAUUGGGACUGAGACACGGCCCAGACUCCUACGGGAGGCAGCAGUGGGGAAUCUUCCGCAAUGGACGAAAGUCUGACGGAGCAACGCCGCGUGAACGAUGACGGCCUUCGGGUUGUAAAGUUCUGUUAUACGGGACGAAUGGUACGACGGUCAAUACCCGUCGUAAGUGACGGUACCGUAAGAGAAAGCCACGGCUAACUACGUG